Molecule: ribosomal RNA, 406 nt
Filed under: uncultured bacterium
Lineage: Bacteria
Description: partial 16S ribosomal RNA
Rfam family: Bacterial small subunit ribosomal RNA
Source: RNAcentral
AUUGAACGCUGGCGGCAGGCCUAACACAUGCAAGUCGAACGAGGGGCGGACGGGUGCGUAAUGUCUGGGAAACUGCCUGAUGGAGGGGGAUAACUACUGGAAACGGUAGUUAAUACCGCAUACCAUCAGAUGUGCCCAGAUGGGAUUAGAUUGUUGGUGGGGGAACGGCUCACCAAGGCGACGAUCCCUAGCUGGGCGUAGAGGAUGACCAGCCACAAUGGAAUUGAGACACGGUCCAGAUUCGUACGGGAGGCAGCAGUGGGGACAAUUGCACAAUGGGCGCAAGCCUGAGGCAGCCAUGCCGCGUGUAUGAAGAGGGCCUUCGGGUUGUAAAGUACUUUCAGCGGGGAGGCGUUACCCGCAGAAGAAGCACCGGCUAACUCCGUGCCAGCAGGCGCGGUAAUUC